Molecule: long non-coding RNA, 635 nt
Filed under: Eutrema salsugineum
Lineage: Eukaryota; Viridiplantae; Streptophyta; Magnoliopsida; Brassicales; Brassicaceae
Description: long non-coding RNA (ESAL_LNC001219)
Source: RNAcentral
AGAUCGUCCUCUUCCUUGUCGCGUCUGUCUCUAUCCUCAGCGAAUAUCUGGAUUAAACUAUCUUGUUCUUUCUUCGUUUCUUCUAACUCGUCUUUUGUUGUUUGUAACUUCAAUAACCAAAAGGAAUCCAUUGGUUAAGAGUGUUGUCAUAGGUUUGCAGGCAGACAUAGUAGAACUUACCUCGGCUUCAAGUUUCUUGCGUAGCUCUUUCUCACGUUUCAGCUCGUCUUUCAAUAACAGGAAAACUUCUUCUUUUUGAUUUAGACUGAGAUAAAGAAUACACAGCUUCCAGUGAGAAACAUGAAUCGUAUAGGCAAAUUAACAUGGUGAGUAUGGUGACAAACCUUUCUUUUAACUCUUCAUUCUCUUGUUCUAAUUGACUAAGGGUACGUGAACCAGACCGAGGCUUGUGUAGUUCGGAACUCUGCAAGAAGAUGUACAAAAAGAUUAUGUUCUCAAUCCAAUUCACCAGAGAAAGCGUAUAGAUAGGGAGAGAAAAAAAAGGAGCAUGUACCUUCUCGGGAAGCUCAGUGACAAUUCUUUCAGAAGAAGAAGAAUCAUCAUCACUAUUGGUUAACUCUACAGCACCAGCACGAGCUCCUCGAGGCUUUGCUCGUUUGUUAGACUUGGAAGAG